AGGGCGUAUGGUGGAUGCCUAGGCUCUCAGAGGCGAAGAAGGACGUGAUAAGCUGCGAAAAGCUCCGUUUAGGUGCAAAUAACCUUUGAUGCGGAGAUCUCCGAAUGGGAUAACCCAAUAUGUUGAAGACAUAUUAUACCGUAAGGUAGGCAAACGCAGGGAACUGAAACAUCUAAGUACCUGCAGGAGAAGAAAACAAACGUGAUUCCCCCAGUAGCGGCGAGCGACCGGGGAAAAGCCCAAACCGUUAUUGUUUCGGCAUUAACGGGGUAGUAGGACUGCGACAUUGAUGAAAUAAAUGAAAUGGAACACCUUGGAAAAUGUGAUCACAGAGGGUGAUAAUCCCGUACAUGCAAGUUUAUGAAUCAUAGCAGACUCCUGAGUAAGUCGGGACACGUGUAAUCCUGACCGAAUCCGCCGGGACCAUCCGGCAAGGCUAAAUACUCCUGAGAGACCGAUAGUGAACCAGUACCGUGAGGGAAAGGUGAAAAGCACUUCGAACAGAAGAGUGAAAUAGUCCCUGAACCCAUACGCCUACAAGCAGUCGGAGCCGCUUCGUGCGGUGACGGCGUGCCUUUUGCAUAAUGAGCCUACGAGUUACUCAUCACCAGCGAGGUUAAGUACUUCAGGUACGUAAGCCGAAGCGAAAGCGAGUCUGAAUAGGGCGUCAAGUUGGUGGUGGUAGACGCGAAACCUUAGUGAUCUACCCAUGGGCAGGGUGAAGGUUUGGUAACACAAACUGGAGGCCCGAACCGGUAAACGUUGAAAAGUUUUCGGAUGACCUGUGGGUAGGGGUGAAAGGCCAAUCAAACUGGGAAAUAGCUCGUACUCUCCGAAAUGCAUUUAGGUGCAGCCUCUGUUGUUUUGUUCUAGAGGUAGAGCUACUGAUUGGAUGCGAGGGCUUCACCGCCUAUCAAAUCCGGCCAAACUCCGAAUGCUAGAACAUGAAGACAGGGAGUGAGCCAGCGGGUGCUAAGGUCCGUUGACGAAAGAGGGAGAACUCAGACCAUCAGCUAAGGUCCCCAAUUGUAUGCUAAGUUGGAAUUAAAACGGGGUGGGACUGCUUAGACAGCUAGGAUGUUGGCUUGGAAGCAGCCAUUCAUUUAAAGAGUGCGUAACAGCUCACUAGUCGAGCGGUCCUGCAUGGAUAAUACGCGGGCAUAAGCAUAUAACCGAAGCUAUGGGAUUGUAGAUGAUACAAUCGGUAGGAGAGCAUUCCAUUCAGCAUAGAAGCAGUAUCGUGAGGUAUUGUGGAGCGGAUGGAAAAGCAAAUGUAGGCAUAAGUAACGAUAAUGCGGGUGAGAACCCCGCACGCCGAAAGAUCAAGGAUUCCCCGGCAAUGUCAAUCAUCCGGGGGUAAGUCGGAUCCUAAGGGUAAGCCGAGUGGCGAUCCCGAUGGCAAACAGGUUAAUAUUCCUGUACUGAUCAUAACUGCGAUGCAGCGACGCAGAGGUGACACUGCUGCGUACUGACGGAAUAGUACGUUGAAACCCGUAUUCUUUGAUACCGGUAGUGAAGCACGCCGGUAGAGAUGAAAGGUGAUAGUACCGCAAUGCUUCGGUUGCGCGGAUAACGCAGGUAAGCUGACUGCCAAGAAAACCUGCUAAGCUUCAGGUAAUGAUCAUCCGUACUGUAAACGGACACACGUGAUCAGGUAGAAAAUACUAAGGCGCUCGAGAGAUUCAUGGUUAAGGAACUAGGCAAAAUGGUCCUGUAACUUCGGGAUAAAGGACGCUCUUGUGAAAGAGCCGCAGAUAAUAGGCCCAGGCGACUGUUUACCAAAAACACAUGGCUAUGCUAAUUCGCAAGAAGAUGUAUAUGGCCUGACACCUGCCCGGUGCCGGAAGGUUAAGAGGAGAGCUCAGAGGCAACUCGAAGGUUUGAAUUGAAGCCCCGGUAAACGGCGGCCGUAACUAUAACGGUCCUAAGGUAGCGAAAUUCCUUGUCGGGUAAGUUCCGACCUGCACGAAUGGUGUAACGAUCUGGGCACUGUCUCGACCAUGAGCUCGGUGAAAUUGUAGUUCCGGUGAAGAUGCCGGGUACCCGCGACGGGACGGAAAGACCCCGUGAACCUUUACUGCAGCUUCGCGUUGUUCCCGGGCACGGGACGUGUAGGAUAGGUCGGAGGCAAUGAAGCGGUUUCGCCAGGAAUCGUGGAGCCAUCGUUGAAAUACGACCCUUCUCUUGUCUGGGAUCUAACCCGUUUAACGGGGACACCGCGUGGUGGGUAGUUUGACUGGGGUGGUCGCCUCCAAAAGCGUAACGGAGGCUUCCAAAGGUACCCUCGGGUUGGUUGGUAAUCAACCUAGGAGUGCAAUGGCACAAGGGUGCUUGACCGGGAGACUCACAAGUCGAUCGGGUGCGAAAGCAGGGCAUAGUGAUCCGGUGAUCCCGCGUGGAAGGGUCAUCGCUCAAAGGAUAAAAGGUACUCCGGGGAUAACAGGCUGAUCGCCCCCAAGAGCUCAUAUCGACGGGGCGGUUUGGCACCUCGAUGUCGGCUCGUCACAUCCUGGGGCUGGAGAAGGUCCC
RNAcentral lists this ribosomal RNA (2529 nucleotides) under human gut metagenome. RNAcentral's name for it is "bacterial LSU rRNA". It matches the Rfam family "Bacterial large subunit ribosomal RNA", at positions 14 to 2566 of the family's 2925-position model. The record is from RNAcentral.